CGGUAAACAGAGGGAAGCGAGCCCGCGAGGGGGAGCAAAUCCCAAAAAUAACGUCCCAGUUCGGAUUGUAGUCUGCAACCCGACUACAUGAAGCUGGAAUCGCUAGUAAUCGCGGAUCAGAAUGCCGCGGUGAAUACGUUCCCGGGUCUUGUACACACCGCCCGUCACACCAUGGGAGUCGGAAAUGCCCGAAGUCUGUGACCCAACCGCGAGGAGGGAGCAGCCGAAGGCAGGUCGGAUGACUGGGGUGAAGUCGUAACAAGGUAGC
This 268-nucleotide ribosomal RNA is filed under the name uncultured bacterium. RNAcentral's name for it is "partial 16S ribosomal RNA". It matches the Rfam family "Bacterial small subunit ribosomal RNA", at positions 1234 to 1500 of the family's 1533-position model. The record is from RNAcentral.